AAAGGAGGGAACCCCGGAUUGGAUAUGAGACAGAAGAUAUAAGAAUCAAAAAUUCCCAAGGAGGAUUUGUCAAUCAAGGAAAACAUGACAGAUGGUGAGCAUGUUUAAGGAAAAUAGCCCACAGUGUCUGCCCUGAUCAAUACGUACCCAUGGGACUUUGAAGAUCCUAAGCUAAGUAAACCAGGAGACACAGAAGACGUACCAGAUUUGCAAAGAAGGAAAAGUAUUUCCUACUUAGCAGCAUUUCCAAAGGAAGAAGCUAAGAGUGAGAAAAAUAUACCGUG
RNAcentral lists this long non-coding RNA (284 nucleotides) under Pongo abelii (Sumatran orangutan). Its description in RNAcentral is "lncRNA (ENSPPYG00000041219.1)". Lineage: Eukaryota; Metazoa; Chordata; Mammalia; Primates; Hominidae. The record is from RNAcentral.